RNAcentral lists this ribosomal RNA (468 nucleotides) under uncultured bacterium. RNAcentral describes it as "partial 16S ribosomal RNA". It matches the Rfam family "Bacterial small subunit ribosomal RNA", at positions 28 to 507 of the family's 1533-position model. The record is from RNAcentral.
GACGAACGCUGGCGGCGUGCUUAACACAUGCAAGUCGAACGGAAAGGCCCUGCUUUUGUGUGGUGCUCGAGUGGCGAACGGGUGAGUAACACGGGAGUAACCUGCCCUUGACUUUGGGAUAACUUCAGGAAACUGGGGCUAAUACCGGAUAGGAGCUCCUGCUGGAUGGUGGGGGUUGGAAAGUUUCGGCGGAUGGGGAUGGACUCGCGGCUUAUCAGCUUGUUGGGGGGGUAGUGGCUUACCAAGGCUUUGACGGGUAGCCGGCCUGGGAGGGUGAUCGGCCACAUUGGGCCUGAGAUACGGCCCAGACUCCUACGGGAGGCAGAAGUGGGGAAUAUUGCACAAUGGGCGGAAGUCUGAUGCAGCAACGCCGCGUGCGGGAUGACGGCCUUCGGGUUGUAAACCGCUUUCGCCUGUGACGAAGCGUGAGUGACGGUAAUGGGUAAAGAAGCACCGGCUAACUACGUG